Apodemus sylvaticus (European woodmouse) is the source of this 1232-nucleotide long non-coding RNA. RefSeq lists it as uncharacterized. The record is from RefSeq and is a predicted model, not a curated record. The transcript is spliced from 3 exons. NCBI's taxonomy places the organism in Eukaryota, Metazoa, Chordata, Mammalia, Rodentia, Muridae.
UUGGGGAAGGCAGCUUUGCACAUCCUUCUGGAAAGUUAAUACUGCUAAGAUAGGGGGGAAAAAACGGAGGCUUUGGGAUUCUUGAGAUAAAUAAGGAGGGGGACCUUGUCAAGGAAUCUGGGGACAGGUAAGCAAGGCGACACUGGAGGGGCUGUCGCUGCAGAACUCCAAGCGCAGUGCCUGUUUCUCCCACAGACACUGGAAUUGUUUAUUUGGACUCCUGCCAGCGCCUCAUCUGGGGAACACAGGCAUUUAGUCACAUCUCCCCAAAAAAGUCACACAGCAGCUGGAGCCCACAGUGAAUGAGAUCAGUGCCUUUGAGAGGAGAUGCCAGGAAAAGCUCCUUCAGUGCUUCCGCUAUGAAAGGCAUAAGAUAUCCACUUAUGAACAGGGAGCCCAGCAGUGUCCUGAAGCAGAACUCCACAUCCUUCAAAACUAUGAGGAAGAAAUGUGUGCUGCUCAUGAGAUACUUCCGUCUACUGUAAUCUGAAAGCCUCCUUGAUUUGAAAACGAUCCACCCGACCACACUACAGUCACAGCCAUAGAUGUCAAAGGAGCACACUGGGUCUGGGAUAUUUCUGCCACAGCCGUUUUCGACACCUGUUGAUCAUUCAAUCAGAGGAAACCUCGGAGCUGAAGAUAUGCCAACUCUGUGGAAAUUCCUUCCCAAAAUAGCAAGAGCUGAGAGAAUUGCUGGGCAGGCAAGUCCUGGUGGGCGGGGCUCGGGGCUGCUUGCGGUUCAGCAACUAUCUUUCAUGGUUGGCAUUUUUACACUGUCUAAAUCCUCAGUCGGUCCAACAGCUGAUUUCCUCCUUUGUCCAGCUCUUCCUUUCUCAUUUCCUGGGGAGUGGCGGCCACACCCUUCCACAAGUCACUUCUUUGGAAGCAAUUGCUGAAAUGGCCACACAGCUGUCUGCAGUUGUCCGACAGUGACCGCUACACUGGAGUUUGCUCUUCCCUCACUAAGUCCAUGAAUUGUAAAAAAAAGCAAACUUUAAGAGGAACAAGGCACUGUGUCCUAGCUCUAAGUCAAAUGAUGUGUAAAAGCCAUUUCUAAGCCUGUCUCCUCCCAUGAGCAAAACUGGAGGGAGUCAGGGGCUCAAACAACCUAGGGAAGCCUUCAUAUUUUUAAAAACAUCAGACUGUGUGUUUAAACUUUAAUCACGUAAAUAUCCAUUAUGCUUAUGUUUCAUAUUCGAACCACAAUUUGUGUGUUACUUUAAAAAAUAAAU